RNAcentral lists this ribosomal RNA (512 nucleotides) under uncultured bacterium. RNAcentral's name for it is "bacterial SSU rRNA". It matches the Rfam family "Bacterial small subunit ribosomal RNA", at positions 16 to 518 of the family's 1533-position model. The record is from RNAcentral.
AUUCUGGCUCAGGAUGAACGCUAGCUACAGGCUUAACACAUGCAAGUCGAGGGGCAUCAGGGCGAUAGCUUGCUAUGCCGCUGGCGACCGGCGCACGGGUGAGUAACGCGUAUCCAACCUCCCCCUUAGUAGAGGAUAGCCCGGCGAAAGUCGGAUUAAUACUCUAUGUUCUUCAAUGCGGACAUCUAACUUGAAGCAAAGAUUCAUCGCUAAGGGAUGGGGAUGCGUCUGAUUAGCUUGUCGGCGGGUAACGGCCCACCGAGGCGACGAUCAGUAGGGGUUCUGAGAGGAAGGUCCCCCACAUUGGUACUGAGACACGGACCAAACUCCUACGGGAGGCAGCAGUGAGGAAUAUUGGUCAAUGGGCGCGAGCCUGAACCAGCCAAGUAGCGUGCAAGGAUGACUGCCCUAUGGGUUGUAAACUGCUUUUAUGCGGGAAUAAAGUCAGGUACGCGUACCUGUUUGUAUGUACCGCAUGAAUAAGGACCGGCUAAUUCCGUGCCAGCAGCCGC